Molecule: unclassified non-coding RNA, 329 nt
Filed under: soil metagenome
Description: partial contains 5.8S ribosomal RNA, internal transcribed spacer 2, and large subunit ribosomal RNA
Rfam family: 5.8S ribosomal RNA (bases 1-118)
Source: RNAcentral
GAUGAAACGCAGCGAAAUGCGAUAAGUAAUGUGAAUUGCAGAAUUCAGUGAAUCAUCGAAUCUUUGAACGCACAUUGCGCCCCCUGGUAUUCCGGGGGGCAUGCCUGUUCGAGCGUCAUUUCACCACUCAAGCCUCGCUUGGUAUUGGGCAACGCGGUCCGCCGCGUGCCUCAAAUCGACCGGCUGGGUCUUCUGUCCCCUAAGCGUUGUGGAAACUAUUCGCUAAAGGGUGUUCGGGAGGCUACGCCGUAAAACAACCCCAUUUCUAAGGUUGACCUCGGAUCAGGUAGGGAUACCCGCUGAACUUAAGCAUAUCAAUAAGCGGAGGA